RNAcentral lists this long non-coding RNA (521 nucleotides) under Bos mutus (wild yak). RNAcentral's name for it is "lncRNA (ENSBMUG00000023799.1)". The record is from RNAcentral. Lineage: Eukaryota; Metazoa; Chordata; Mammalia; Artiodactyla; Bovidae.
CUCAGGGGAGGGAAAUCAAGAGUGGAGAGUAGAGGAGAAAGACCGACUGGACUGCAGCCAUCCCUCAAAUGAGCCCCCAUGGAGAAGACUUGGAGACGUGAGCUGGGGCUUCCGGUGGAUGCGUAUUAAACACCUUGGACUGAAAGCUGAGGUCAUGGAUUACUUUCUCAUUGCUGUCAAAGAAUCUGCCAGCAAGAGCCGCCUGAGAGAACAGACAAUGGAGCUCUAUGUACCUCUGCAGGAAAAGAACAAAAAUUCCGACACUUCAAUGUUAACUGCUGGGAUCCGCAGCCACCCCGGGGCAUCCCGGAGAUCACCCAACACAGAAGACAUCUUCAGAGCUUAAAUUAGCUUGCAAGUAUCAAAAAGAUGUGCGUGGACCCCAGGAGUCCCAGUAGACCAGCCAUCGCCAGCUGUGGUUUGCCCGCCGACUCCACACCACAGCUCAGAGGUAUUACUUUCCAGGUGUUUAGUCCACAACUACGGAGCUGGCGAGGAUCUCCAGCUCAGUUUGCUGUGCU